CAGCAGCCACGGUAAUACGGAGGGUGCAAGCGUUAAUCGAAAUUACUGGGCGUAAAGCGCACGCAGGCGGUCUGACAAGUCAGAUGUGAAAUCCCCGGGCUUAACCUGGGAACUGCAUUUGAAACUGUCAGGCUGGAGUCUUGUAGAGGGGGGUGGAAUUCCAGGUGUAGCGGUGAAAUGCGUAGAGAUCUGGAGGAAUACCGGUGGCGAAGGCGGCCCCCUGGACAAAGACUGACGCUCAGGUGCGAAAGCGUGGGGAGCAAACAGGAUUAGAUACCCGAGUAGUCCCUGUCUCUUAUAC
RNAcentral lists this ribosomal RNA (301 nucleotides) under uncultured bacterium. RNAcentral describes it as "partial 16S ribosomal RNA". It matches the Rfam family "Bacterial small subunit ribosomal RNA", at positions 509 to 807 of the family's 1533-position model. The record is from RNAcentral.